AUGACCUCUAAUCUUGGUGAUGAUUCUGUGUCGAAUGACUCAUUGCAUGUUUGCUUAUCUAAGCAUGUUGUAGCAUGUAAAUUUGAUUCAAAUAAGGUUUAUUCACCAAUGUUGGGAUGGUUUAAUGAUGAACAUUGUCAAUCUUUUGAAAUAAAUAAGAGCUUCACUUAUAUGUGCAAACUGAGUUGCAAUAUUUUCAUGCCUUCUAGUUCUUGUGCUAAUUUGUUGGCUUUAGAUUUUAUGAACUAUGCAAGUUACUCAUCUAUUCAUGUGUCAUAUAUGCAAAAAUCAAGGGAAGUAAAAAUGGAUGACGUAUACAUAUACAACAUGUACACCUUGUCUCUUUUGUUAGCCACAUUUCAGAUUAAGCAACGCCGAGGACGGCUUUGUUUUCAAGAAGGGGAGGAUGAUGAGGACAUGACUACCUUGGAUAAGACCGAAAAUAUUGCAUACAUGCAUAUUUGUCAGGUGAUUUCUAGUGCAAACUAUUCAAUAAUAUAUUUAUGUUAUCCAGAACAAAAAUACUUCACAUACUUUUGUGUUUUGUCUAAUUGCAGGUGUAUGAGACAUUUGUACAAUCCACAUAUGAAGAUAAGGGAAAAGGAGAAGUUUAGGUGCUGUUCAAAAAGUCUUCUCACGUCACUUUAG
This 648-nucleotide ribosomal RNA is filed under the name Triticum aestivum (bread wheat). RNAcentral's name for it is "partial small subunit ribosomal RNA". Lineage: Eukaryota; Viridiplantae; Streptophyta; Magnoliopsida; Poales; Poaceae. The record is from RNAcentral.